Molecule: ribosomal RNA, 365 nt
Filed under: uncultured bacterium
Lineage: Bacteria
Description: bacterial SSU rRNA
Rfam family: Bacterial small subunit ribosomal RNA
Source: RNAcentral
GSAGGAUCCAAGCGUUAUCCGGAAUCAUUGGGUUUAAAGGGUCCGUAGGCGGUUUGGUAAGUCAGUGGUGAAAGCCCAUCGCUCAACGGUGGAACGGCCAUUGAUACUGCCAGACUUGAAUUAUUGGGAAGUAACUAGAAUAUGUAGUGUAGCGGUGAAAUGCUUAGAGAUUACAUGGAAUACCAAUUGCGAAGGCAGGUUACUACCAAUUGAUUGACGCUGAUGGACGAAAGCGUGGGGAGCGAACAGGAUUAGAUACCCUGGUAGUCCACGCCGUAAACGAUGGAUACUAGCUGUUGGGAGCAAUUUCAGUGGCUAAGCGAAAGUGAUAAGUAUCCCACCUGGGGAGUACGGGCGCAAGCCUG